UACGUAGGGACCAAGCGUUGUCCGGAAUCAUUGGGCGUAAAGAGCGUGUAGGCGGCUUGUUAAGUCUUGCGUGAAAUCUCGGGGCUCAACCCCGAGCGGUCGUGAGAAACUGGCAGGCUAGAGUGCGGGAGAGGAGAGUGGAAUUCCUGGUGUAGCGGUGAAAUGCGCAGAUAUCAGGAGGAACACCGAUGGCGAAGGCAGGUCUCUGGGCUGACACUGACGCUCAUGCACGAAAGCGUGGGGAGCAAACAGG
Molecule: ribosomal RNA, 253 nt
Filed under: uncultured bacterium
Lineage: Bacteria
Description: partial 16S ribosomal RNA
Rfam family: Bacterial small subunit ribosomal RNA
Source: RNAcentral